CGGAACUCGCGGGCCCCAACGCGCCUGCGCUUCCCCAGGUGCGUCGCUGCGUCUCGCGUUCUUCCGGGAGCUGCCCGGGCGGCGGGUCAGCAGUCGGCUCCGCGCAGACCGCCGAGCCCCGUCGCGGGCCCGGCAUGAACCGCUACCUGCUGCCGCUGUCGGCGCUGGGCACCGUAGUAGGCGGCGCCGUGCUGCUCAAGGACAAUGUUGCCGGUGGGGUUUGCCCCAGCAAGGCCACCAUCCCUGGAAAGACGGUCAUCGUGACAGGCGCUAACACAGGCAUAGGGAAGCAGACCGCCUUUGAACUGGCCAAAAGAGGAGGCAACAUCAUCCUGGCCUGCCGAGACAUGGAGAAGUGUGAGGCAGCGGCAAGGGCCAUCCGCCGGGAGACCCUCAAUCACCAUGUGAAUGCCCGGCAGUUGGACCUGGCCUCCCUUAAGUCCAUCCGAGAGUUUGCAGCGAAGAUCAAUGAAGAGGAGGAGCGAGUGGACAUUCUCGUCAACAACGCGGCCGUGAUGCGGUGCCCCCACUGGACAACGGAGGAUGGCUUUGAGAUGCAGUUUGGCGUUAACCACCUGGGUCACUUUCUCUUGACAAACUUGCUGCUGGACAAGCUGAAAGCCUCAGCCCCUUCACGGAUCAUCAACCUCUCGUCCUUGGCCCACAUUGCUGGGCACAUAGACUUUGAUGACUUGAACUGGCAGACGAGGAAGUAUGACCCCAAAGCCGCCUACAGCCAGAGCAAGCUGGCCAUCGUCCUCUUCACCAAGGAGCUGAGCCGGCGGCUGCAAGGCUCUGGUGUGACUGUCAAUGCCCUUCACCCCGGUGUGGCCAGGACAGAGCUGGGCAGACACACAGGCAUCCAUGGCUCCACCUUCUCCAGCACCACCCUCGGGCCCAUCUUCUGGCUGCUGGUCAAGAGCCCCGAGCUGGCUGCCCAGCCCAGUACAUACCUGGCCGUGGCGGAGGAACUGGUGGAUGUUUCCGGAAAGUACUUUGAUGGACUCAAACAGAAGGCCCCAGCCCCCGAGGCUGAGGAUGAGGAGGUGGCCCAGCGGCUUUGGGCUGAAAGUGCCCGCCUGGUGGGCUUGGAGGUGUCCCAUGUGUCCUCUGUGAGGGAGCAACCCCUUCCCAGAUAACCUCUGGAGGUUUGAAAGCCAGGAUGGAGGCUGAGGCUCCAGGAUGGAGCCACAAGACCGAGGACCGCAGGCCGCCACGCCCGCAGCAUCCUCUAGGGGGCGGUGUCAGCACCACCUGAGCUGGGAGACGCAGAACUGCCGGCUGCCACAACCGCAGCAUCCUCUAGCGGGCAGUGCUGGUCGCAGCGGACUGGCUUGCAGGUGGGCACUGCCCUGGGCUCUGGCUGGUCCCGUGUGCUCUGCUGCCAGCAGGGGAGCAGGGCCAUACUUGCUCUGGGAAUCUAAACUGGGUAUGGCUGAGGAGGAACAGUCUCUGUAUGCUUGAGGGCGAUGUCAGGAGAGCCAGCGGUGCCCGUGGGGGUGGGUUCCAAGGUGCUCCGUGAAGAGCAUGGGCAAGGUGUCUGACACUCGGUGGAUUCCUGGGUCCCUGUGGGACGCUGUGCACGCAUGGUCCUCUCUUGAGCCUUGAUUUCUCCAGCGGUGAGGUGCUCAGAAUAGCUGCUACCUCCUGUGAUGGCGUGGUGUGGUGAGCUGUUGUCUGGCCGUUGCAUGGCUGUGCACAGCCCCUGCCAGAGGUGCUUGCUGAGGGCUUCCUGUGCCAGAUCCCGGCCAGAGAGCAGGUGUCAUCUGAGUUCAAGCUCUGCCUGGAAUGGACUGGGAACUCCACCAGCUGCUGCAAGAACCUGGGAGUGCCUGGGGUUCCCACCUUCCUGUCAGUUCUCAUGGUAAUCCAUCCAAACUGCAGACUCUCAAGCUUGCUCAUUUAAAAAAAAAAUGUAGCGUUGUAGGUUUUUUUUUUUU
Cebus imitator (Panamanian white-faced capuchin) is the source of this 1940-nucleotide RNA transcript. It is a transcript of the gene named retinol dehydrogenase 13, with no coding region annotated. The record is from RefSeq and is a predicted model, not a curated record. The transcript is spliced from 8 exons. Lineage: Eukaryota; Metazoa; Chordata; Mammalia; Primates; Cebidae.